CCUACGGGAGGCAGCAGUGGGGAAUAUUGGGCAAUGGGCGCAAGCCUGACCCAGCAACGCCGCGUGAAGGAAGAAGGCUUUCGGGUUGUAAACUUCUUUUCUCAGGGACGAAGAAAGUGACGGUACCUGAGGAAUAAGCCACGGCUAACUACGUGCCAGCAGCCGCGGUAAUACGUAGGUGGCAAGCGUUAUCCGGAUGUAAUGGGGGUAAAGGUCGUGUAGGCGGGAAAGCAAGUCAGAUGUGAAAACCCUGGGCUCAACCUGUGGCCCGCAUUUGAAACUGUUUUUCUUGAGUACUGGAGAGGCAGACGGAAUUCCUGGUGUAGCGGUGAAAUGCGUAGAUAUGAGGAGGAACACCAGUGGCGAAGGCGGUCUGCUGGACAGCAACUGACGCUGAGGCGCGAAAGCGUGGGGAGCAAACAGGAUUAGAUACCCCAGUAGUC
This 443-nucleotide ribosomal RNA is filed under the name uncultured bacterium. RNAcentral describes it as "partial 16S ribosomal RNA". It matches the Rfam family "Bacterial small subunit ribosomal RNA", at positions 338 to 795 of the family's 1533-position model. The record is from RNAcentral.